AACCAAUAGUGUGAUAGAUAGAGAUAAUAGCCAACAGUGUGAUAGACAGAGAUAAUAGCCAAUAGUGUGAUAGACAGAUGGAGAUAAUAACCGAUAGUGUGAUAGACAGAGAUAAUAGCCAAUAGUGUGAUAGACAGAGAUAAUAGCCAACAGUGUGAUAGACAGAGAUAGUAACCAAUAGUGUGAUAGAUAGAGAUAAUAGCCAACAGUGUGAUAGACAGAGAUAAUAGCCAACAGUGUGAUAGACAGAGAUAAUAGCCAACAGUGUGAUAG
Non-coding RNA from Pelobates cultripes (western spadefoot toad), 273 nucleotides. The record is from the annotation of a GenBank genome assembly. NCBI's taxonomy places the organism in Eukaryota, Metazoa, Chordata, Amphibia, Anura, Pelobatidae.